This 497-nucleotide ribosomal RNA is filed under the name uncultured bacterium. Its description in RNAcentral is "partial 16S ribosomal RNA". It matches the Rfam family "Bacterial small subunit ribosomal RNA", at positions 28 to 507 of the family's 1533-position model. The record is from RNAcentral.
GACGAACGCUGGCGGCGUGCCUAAUACAUGCAAGUAGAACGCUGAAGCUUGGUGCUUGCCCCGAGCGGAUGAGUUGCGAACGGGUGAGUAACGCGUAGGUAACCUGCCUGGUAGCGGGGGAUAACUAUUGGAAACGAUAGCUAAUACCGCAUAAGAGUAGAUGUUGCAUGACAUUUGCUUAAAAGGUGCAAUUGCAUCACUACCAGAUGGACCUGCGUUGUAUUAGCUAGUUGGUGAGGUAACGGCUCACCAAGGCAACGAUACAUAGCCGACCUGAGAGGGUGAUCGGCCACACUGGGACUGAGACACGGCCCAGACUCCUACGGGAGGCAGCAGUAGGGAAUCUUCGGCAAUGGACGGAAGUCUGACCGAGCAACGCCGCGUGAGUGAAGAAGGUUUUCGGAUCGUAAAGCUCUGUUGUAAGAGAAGAACGAGUGUGAGAGUGGAAAGUUCACACUGUGACGGUAGCUUACCAGAAAGGGACGGCUAACUACGUG